UAAUACGAAGGGUCCAAGCGUUGUUCGGAAUCAUUGGGCGUAAAGCGCGCGCAGGCGGAUCAGCAAGUCAGAUGUGAAAUCUCGAAGCUCAACUUCGAAACUGUGUCUGAAACUGCUAGUCUAGAGUGUCGGAGGGGGUAGGGGAAUUUCACGUGUAGGGGUAAAAUCCGUAGAGAUGUGAAGGAACACCGGGGGCGAAGGCGCCUACCUGGACGACUACUGACGCUGAGGCGCGAAAGCGUGGGGAGCAAACAGGAUUAGAUACCCUGGUAGUCCACGCCGUAAACGAUGAACACUAGUUAUUGGGGGUAUUGACUCCCUCAGUGACGCAGCUAACGCAUUAAGUGUUCCGCCUGGGGAGUACGGUCGCAAGACUAAAACUCAAACAAAUUGACGGGGGCCCGCACAAGCGGUGGAUUAUGUGGUUUAAUUCGAAGCAACGCGCAGAACCUUACCUAGGCUUGAACUCCUCAGAAUCCGUUUUAAUCGACGGAGUGUCCGCAAGGAAAUUGAGUGAGAGGU
This 522-nucleotide ribosomal RNA is filed under the name uncultured Peredibacter sp. RNAcentral's name for it is "bacterial SSU rRNA". It matches the Rfam family "Bacterial small subunit ribosomal RNA", at positions 521 to 1039 of the family's 1533-position model. The record is from RNAcentral. Lineage: Bacteria; Pseudomonadati; Bdellovibrionota; Bacteriovoracia; Bacteriovoracales; Bacteriovoracaceae.